GUCUCGGUGGCGCAAUUGGUAAGCUUACCAUUCAUCAAAUUCACCCAAUCAUCCAGUCACUAAUUCAGAAUAAAGGUUAGCGCGUACGACUGUUAAUCGUGAGGUUGAGAGUUCGAUCCUCUCCCGGGACG
Molecule: transfer RNA, 131 nt
Filed under: Aspergillus brasiliensis
Lineage: Eukaryota; Fungi; Ascomycota; Eurotiomycetes; Eurotiales; Aspergillaceae
Description: tRNA-Asn
Source: RNAcentral